CCUACGGGAGGCAGCAGUGAGGAAUAUUGGUCAAUGGCCGGAAGGCUGAACCAGCCAAGCCGCGUGAAGGACGAAGGUGCCAAGCAUUGUAAACUUCUUUUGUCAAGGGACAAAAUCAGGCUCGAGAGCCUGACCGAGGGUACUUGAAGAAAAAGCAUCGGCUAACUUCGCUCCAGCAGCCGCGGUAGUACGGAGGAUGCGACGGUUAUCCGGUGUUGUUUGGUUUAAAGGGGGCGUAGGCGGACUGUUAAGUCAGCGGUAAAAGCCCGGGGCUCAACCCGGGCGAGCCGUUGAAACUGGCUGUCUUGAGAUGUCGAGAGGUAUGCGGAAUGCGCAGUGUAGCGGUGAAAUGCUUAGAUAUUGCGCAGAACUCCGAUUGCGAAGGCAGCAUACCGGCGGCGAUCUGACGCUGAGGCACGAAAGCGUGGGUAUCGAACAGGAUUAGAUACCCGGGUAGUC
RNAcentral lists this ribosomal RNA (459 nucleotides) under uncultured bacterium. RNAcentral describes it as "partial 16S ribosomal RNA". It matches the Rfam family "Bacterial small subunit ribosomal RNA", at positions 338 to 795 of the family's 1533-position model. The record is from RNAcentral.